GCUAGGGGCUGCUGCCUUCUGUUUGGGGCCCUCCCUAUUGUCACUCUCUGGAGAACCCUGCUUCUGGCUGGACUGCUGAAUAAAGCCAAUUGAAGCCCCUUUUGUGUCAGACCGUUUGGUGUUCUGUGGCCUGCGUCAUAGCUGCAUGUGCUGUGUCCCUUUAUUCCCUCUGUGUGUUGAGGAUGCACGUUCCAGGUUUUCCAUCAGACCUCCCUAGUCUGUCCCAGAAGAUGAGAGAAAUGUCUGGUAUUUGGAAAGAGCCUAGGUGCUUUAGUCCAUGCCUACUUCUGUACCACCACAUGCUUUGCUACCAGAUCCUCUUCCUUCAUCUCCCAGGUCAUAAAUAACCUUAGCCUCACACCGAUUAUGUGAGGCGAGAGACAGUGCAAAGCUUUGUGGCCACUUCAACUGGUUCUAGUCCUAUGUGUUGGCUUGAGUCUGAGAUCCCCCCUCCCCCUGCCACUGUGUGAUCUGAUGGGGUGGGGAGGGACACUAUUCUAUUUUUAAAGGGGGCACUAUUCACUCUUUCUUCAGCUAAAAUUCUGGUGCUUGUAUGAGGUCUACCAGUAGUAAGAAAGUGUAAAUAUAAGGGUGUAACUGUGAGUGAGUGUGUGUGUGUGUGUGAGAGAGAGAGAGAGACAGAGAGAGAGAAAGAAAGCACAUGGCAAGUGCAAAUGUCAGUUCGAGUUAGUGCAUGUGUUUUAGGCUCCACAAGUCAAGAGGGAUAUGAAGAACUUAGAGGAGAACAAAAGAAAACAAUGGCAAGAAAGAAAGGUUAGGAAAAAUUCAAAUUCCCUGGCACCAGAAUAGGGUGAGUUGAGUCAACAGUUACUAACUUGCAGGAG
Ailuropoda melanoleuca (giant panda) is the source of this 845-nucleotide long non-coding RNA. RefSeq lists it as uncharacterized. The record is from RefSeq and is a predicted model, not a curated record. Lineage: Eukaryota; Metazoa; Chordata; Mammalia; Carnivora; Ursidae. The transcript has 2 exons.